AUGGCUCCCCCUACGCCGUCCUCGUCUCCGAUGCCGGUUAUGCACGCACGGAUGAGGCUGAUAAUCCAGGCAGCAGCACUGAUUAGUGUGAUUCGGGCAUGGGUCAUGUUCAUGCACCAGAGAGCUGUUCGUCGUGCUGGGAGACCUUUGAUCCGCUAUGGCCCAUUGUUUCCCCGGGAACAGGAGAGGAUCCAAAAUCUGAACUACAUCUACAACUGCAAUGACGUCGAGACUCUGUGGAUGCUUCGAAUGAAAAGAGCACCAUUUGCCAGGCUUGUCGAGACCUUCAGGAGCAGGGGGCUGCUACAAGAUAGCAUCAACACCAGUGUGAAAGAGCAAGUGCCAUGUUCCUACAUGUUGUUGGCCAUAACCAGAGGUUUAGAGUCAUUCACAACACGUUCAGGAGAUCAAUGGAGACCAUCUCUAGGUACUUCAUGCAAGUUCUUUUUGCUAUUGGGGAGCUUAGAGGAGAGAUGA
RNAcentral lists this ribosomal RNA (477 nucleotides) under Triticum aestivum (bread wheat). RNAcentral describes it as "partial small subunit ribosomal RNA". Lineage: Eukaryota; Viridiplantae; Streptophyta; Magnoliopsida; Poales; Poaceae. The record is from RNAcentral.